Molecule: long non-coding RNA, 3689 nt
Filed under: Marmota monax (woodchuck)
Lineage: Eukaryota; Metazoa; Chordata; Mammalia; Rodentia; Sciuridae
Source: RNAcentral
UCCUGCUGGAGCUGGGAGCACCCAAGGCAGACAGCCGGGCUCCCAGGAGGAGAGACCUAGGGAGCUCACCCUCCACCGGGCUAGUCUUCGGCUCUUAGGAGCCUCAGCUUCCUCCUCCCUGAAUGGAGGGGCAUCGCCCAGCCUCACAGAUCUCCAGAGACACUUGGCACAGCUCAGGAGGGGCAGUCCCGACCUCCACGUCCCGCUCCCAGCCCACCUUUACCACCCAGGCCUUGGCUCCCCCUCCCGUGUGCACAGGAAGGGUCUCUCCCUUGGAGCUGACCCUCUCGGCUGGCCUGUGGGCAGUGCAGCUCCUCUGUUCCCCCCCUCCAUUGUGGCUCCCACCCUCAGUUCCUGAAAAUCCUCCACGUCCUUCGCCCAGUCUCCUGCCCACAGCACAGCACGGCAGGCUCAGUGGACAAUGGCACCCCCAGUCGGGGAUUGGUCCUGGUGGGGUGGGGUCAGAGGUCCCAAGGGCAGUGGGGACCCUGAGCUUGCUAGCAGUGGCUCCUGAGAGGAGCUCCCGGGACACCAGCUCAUCUUGAGAGGAGGGGCCUCUGGAGAAGGGACAGGACCACAGGUGGCCUGUGGGAAGGGAGCUGGGCUCUCCCUCUGUGACCUGCUGCAGAGGCCCAGUCCAUCCGAAGCAGAGGAGGCAGGGAGGUUCCGGAUGGCAGGAGGGAGCCUUCAGGUCUACGGAAGCUCUCUGCCACCUCAGGGCUUGUACAUGCUGUCCCCCCACCUGAUCAGCUUGCCACCCCAACACACACACACACACACACACACACACUCCUCUUCCCGUUUAGGCCUCAGGCUGCCAUUACUCCUGAGACUCCCCAUGGACCUGUCACGUGUUCUGCUAGGACAGCCCUGGGUGCCCCCAGGCUGGCUUGCCUCUCCUCUGACUGAGGGAACACAGCUCUCAUGUCUCCAAGAGCUGGGGGAUCAGGGCUGGGCAGGGUCCUUCUCCAGUGAGGGGCUGCAGGCAUGUGUAGGAGGCUUGCAUUUGGAGGAUGAAGGAAAAGUGGGGAAUCCCACACAGAGAUCAGCACUGGGGGGUGACCUUCAGACCCUGAAAGGGCUCCAUCAGGCCAUCUGGGCUGUGGAGUUGAGUGCAGGCAGCUGACAGGGUGUUGGUCAGUGGGUCUGGGAGUCUGGACUUUGUCCAAGGCAAGAGGGAACAAUGAGGCUGAGGCAGAGGACCACGGAUCCGACGAGUGAGCUUUGCAGGUGUGGACAAAGAAGGGGCAGUGGGCCAGGGCCAUGUUCCUCAGAGGCCUGGGUACUUGGAUUGGAAGUGGGGUCAGCAGCUCAGUGGCUACUGGGAUGCAGUGUGGCCAUUGAGGCCAUGUCCACCUUCUUGCUUGAGCCUCUGGUUGGUAGAGAACAGGAGCAACCUGAGGCAAGAUACCUUGGAGGGGGACCAGCCUGGAGGGGCGGCUUCUUGACCUGGGAUCCAUGCACGGGGGCCACUAGAAGCUGUCCACUCUCGAGGAGCAAGAACCAGGCCUGACAUCCCUGCCAUAGGCAGUGGGCUCCUCAAAUCAGCCUCCAGCCUCGGAUUGGCCUGCUGUGUCCCUGCGUGGGUCUGGCUGGGGUUUCCCAGCCAACAAGGAGAUGCCGUGUGCCGGUGGCCUCUGGGGAGUCGCAUCUGGGGUCGGUGCAGGGAGGCCGAGCCCGUGACACACGACUGCCCAGGCUGGCGGAGUGAGUGCCCCGAAUGCACGCUAACGCGAGCCCCAUGUGCCUGGGGAGCCCGUCUUGUCAUCCCCUGUGCCGGGGCUGUCAGCGCACAUCUGGCUUAAAUGAGCUCCCCAAGAAAAUGUGUGAAAUCUGACAGGCACAUUCGGAGUGGCCCAGGGGACCGCGUGAGGGCACCAGAAGGGGACACGGAGUUGCCCUCCCUAGAUGGGCGCCUCUGAGGAAGGCCCUGCUUGCAGCCCUGGUAGAGGCCCCUGGACAGGGAAGACCCCUGGAGCCCAUGGAGCAGGAAGGGGCAGGUCCCGGUGGUGUCAGGCCCCCCACCAAGGUCGGUGGACGGUGGCCUCCUCCUGCCUUCCUUCCCCUGUCCCCGUGCUGCCCCCACCCCUACAGCCUGCCCAGCCCUGCCCUAGGCCAGGAGCCACACACACGCCUUGGCUGGUCUUCCCCUGGUGCCUUGGCCCACCAUGGCAUCCCGAUGGUGUCCUGGGCCGGGCUGUACUCCUCUCCCCUUGGGUGUCGGUUCAGCCUGUGUGUGUUGGGUACCUUUAGGGGCUAGGGGACACGGUGACAAACACCACAGCUGGGGCCUCAGCAGACAGCCACUGUCCCCAGUCCUGGGAACCGAAACCCCAGAAUCCAGGGGCCUCAAGCUGCCUCCUCCUGGGGCUUCCCUCCUCGACUAGCAGACAUACCCCCCACUGUGUCCUCAGAGCCUCUGUGUGUCUGUUAAGGACCCCAGUCACGGCCUUCGCCGGCGGGUGGGAGGGGACAUGUGCACCUGAUCCCAGAGUCUGUCUGGGGCUCUGCCCUCGAGGCCUGUGAGUGGAGUACAGGAGGCCUGCAAGCUGCCCGGGGAGAUGCCAGAGGGGAGCCCAGCCCCCUCUUCCCUCAGGCUCACCCAGUGCCCCCAAAUCUGAAGGAAGCCCCUGAGCACCCAUCCUGGGGACGCUAGGGCCCAGACAAGCCUUGGCUUCAAUCCAGGGCCUCAUGGGGUACAGGCUGACAGAGCUGGGUGGGAGAGAGUGCCCAGAACCUAGAGACCCCCGACCCCAGGCCCACGGGCCCCAGGGCCGCAGGAAUGUGAGGAGCCCAUGGGACCCCUGGGCGCCAGUUCUUUCCAAGUCUCCUUGUGCCUUGUACCCAUUUGGGCUUGGGAGGGCCUGGGGCAUCUCUGGGGUUAGAGGGCCACCCCCUGUACUAGAGGAGGCUCUGGGGGUGAGAGGUGUUGGGCUGGGAGGAAGCCCCCCAGGCUGGCCCCUGUGGGGAUCAGUGCAAGUCCUGGACACGGAGGGUUUCCUUGGGCAGUUCAUGCUGGCCUCUUUGGGCACCAUCCCAGCCGCAGUAUGAAAGCCCCGCAGCCCCUUCCAGACACCCCUGUGUAGUCGUGGCCCAGAGCAAAGGGUGGCCUCUUGUGCUUCCUCAUCUGCCACAUGGUGUGGCUACCCUGGGGGCCUCCCUGGGCCAGUCACAUGGCUAUGUGCCCAGACGGGGCAGGGUAGGGCUGCGGGAUGAUGGGGGAUAAAAUGCCCCAGGCUCAGAGAACCCUUAGGCACCGUGGGAGCCCAGGUCAGCCUUAGACUACCCCUGAAGUGCCCGCCAUGGGUAGCCAGGAAGCAAUGUCCUGCCCCUCUGCUGGCCCUUCCUGGGGUGUCCCAAGUGCCCCUGGCCUGGUUUCCAUACUAAAGGGCUUUCAGAAGGCCAGGAGGAGGAACCAGGGCUACCAAGUCUCAUCAGGGGGAGGGCCCGCCUUUGGCCGAGGACAGUUUGGGCGUGGGGUGCAGAUUUUACAGGGGCCGUAGAGGCUAGAUCUUGAAGCCAUCUGGACCUGCCCCUCAGGGCAUGGCGGGGGGCCAACGUGGAGAGCUGGGAAGAUCCUGUGCUGGGCGGGUACAAGUGGGUCCCUGUCUGUCACCUCUGUGUCCCAAAACCUGCUUUCCUGGGCAUGUGUCCAUCACACAGGGGCCUGGGAGCCGGCUACAGGCUUG